GCCACCACCCUCGCUUGCAGGUUCCUUUUAAUUAGGGAUCCGGUGUGAGACAGCACUUAAUCCCCUAGAAUGCCCGUGGUCCCAAAGCUCGCUGCUCACCUUCGCAGAAUGUGGUCUUGCUAAGCCUCGUGGGAGGACAGGCUUUCGAGUAGGACAGAGUGAGGAGUUAACUGUCAGGCUGCUGCGUGCAAAACCUUGCUUCCCUCCCAUCCCCCUUUCCGAUGCUCUGAUUUAAACGAACCACAAAAUUACAACAGAAAAGUAUAUUUUGGAAGAUGGGCGGGGUCAGUAGAAAAUCUGCAUUCAGAUUAAAUCUAGCGAGAAUGAGGGACGUGUAUUUGUUGAGGGUCAUCAACUCCCAAGAAUCACGGUCAGUUUUCAGAGCAAGAGCCAAAGGGGGGAAGGGUGGUAUGGGCCCUAGGCUGUGGAGCGGGCCACGCGGGUGCGGGACCCGGCGCGUGGAGCUCUGGGAAGAGGGCCAGCCCGGUGUCCCGCGCGCCUGGCUCAGCUCCGCAGUUUGCCGGAGAGCAGAGAGGCGGCUGAGCAGAGGAGGCGCACGGUUCGGGUCGUGUCACCAGUUCUUCGCUUGCUGACCUGCCCAGGGUCAGGGGACGGCGGCAGCACGGUGGAGGUGGGCCCUGUGACACUUGGGAAGUCGUGUCUCGCCCCCUCCCACUACAGAUGGAUUCCAGUCUGGGCAGCAGGGAUCCAGGUGACAAGUCAGUCUUGCAUCAUUUCAAGGCGGGUAACAGAGAGGCCCACGCAGCCCUGGAUAAGCCCGCUGUGGAGCCUCGCGUGCCCUGGUGUCUGUCUUAAAGGCAACUUUACUGUCUCCAAGUACACUCUUUAAUUUUCUCAAAGAGCUACUUUCCGCCCGACUCGGGGUUCCCUUUACUCUUUUAGUGGAAAUGGAAAAAAAAGAAAAAAAAGAAAAACACAAAAAAGCAAAAUUCAGGGAAAUGCUCUCCAUCGCUUCCCCUGUCCUGUUGGAGUCUCUUUCCUAAGCACUGCCCGGAUUAGAUUGCCCCCAGCUGCUGGCUCCCCGGCUGGAGGAAGUAAGCAGAAAGUUGGGCGCCGCUUGGAGCGCCUUUCUCCUUGCUGUGUGUGUACGUGUGCACGCUCACGUCUCCCUCGCUACGGGGCCGCGGACAGGAACUGUUCACCCCGACGGCGCAGCUCUAGGGGGUAGCAGGGGUGGGGGAGGGCGGCCAGGCGCGCGGCAGCCUGGAGUCCCGCGGCGUGUUGGCACACCCGCGUCCCUCCCCCGCAGUCCCCACCCUCCUCUGGGAGAACAGGUGAGCCCGGGUACCAGCUCUCAACCCUCACACGCCCCCGCCCCGCUUGGCUCUGCAGUAAUGUGCCAGGAAGGUUUCAUCACCCACCGCCCGCGGCGACACAGCCGCAGUUUCCGCGGCGGGGCGCACUGCCGGCCUUACUGGGCCGCCAUGUGACAUGCUUGGGGGAGGGGGUACGGAGAUGCCGGGGCAGGUCAUCCUUCAGCAGCUGGCUUCAGCCUUCCUUCCUGGGGCCAGGUGAAGCUCAGGGCUAGGUGACCACCCCUGGCCAAGGCUACCUUCUCGCGAGGAGCAAACCUCAAUGGGGAGGGGGGGGGAAUGGGGCAAGUGCUUUCAGAAUGGGCUGCCCAGGGUCUGGAGUGCCCAGGAGCCGCUGUCCACGGCACCUGCUUAGGUUUCAGAGCCUCAGGAAAUGGUCACUUUAGUCCGAAUCUGCAGAGGUGGCAAGAAACUGUCCACUCAUGCCGAUGCUUCCAGUCGCAGUCAGCUCCCGCAGCUACAGAUCUUUUGUAGCAAGGCGCAGACUGGCGUUCUCAAUGCCCGCCUUACUCAGCUUGGCGUCCCUCAUUCAGGAAAAACCACCUCUUGCCAUCCUUAAAAGCCAAACAAGCAAAUAGCACAACAGCAUUCUGGCUUAUCCUAAUUGCUCAGGGCCCCAAAUUUCCUGGGGUCAAGUGGAUGUUUGUUCUCAGUCUUGUUUAAAGGUAUUAACUGAGUUCUUUCUUUCCAUCUGGUUUCUUUUGUAGAUGAGAGCACAAAGAGUAUUGGCAUUAAAAAGGCAUCUGGUCCCACCCCUCCCCCCCAAACAGAAAUAGAAGAUCUAGGGGGCAGGAGCAAGCCCACCUUUGCCAGCUGCAGAUACCUGGGCUUCUGCCAGCAGCCUGGCACAUGGAGGUGAUUGGUACCUGUCUUCUCUCUGCCUGUGUUAGAUACCGCCCUUGCUUCCUUGAGGCCUUG
This 2252-nucleotide long non-coding RNA is filed under the name Cavia porcellus (domestic guinea pig). RNAcentral describes it as "lncRNA (ENSCPOG00000040015.1)". Lineage: Eukaryota; Metazoa; Chordata; Mammalia; Rodentia; Caviidae. The record is from RNAcentral.